Molecule: ribosomal RNA, 469 nt
Filed under: uncultured bacterium
Lineage: Bacteria
Description: partial 16S ribosomal RNA
Rfam family: Bacterial small subunit ribosomal RNA
Source: RNAcentral
GACGAACGCUGGCGGCGUGCUUAACACAUGCAAGUCGAACGGAAAGGCCCUGCUUGCAGGGUGCUCGAGUGGCGAACGGGUGAGUAACACGUGGGUGAUCUGCCCCUUACUUUGUGAUAAGCCUGGGAAACUGGGUCUAAUACUGGAUAGGACCAUGCUGUAGGUGGUGUGGUGGAAAGAUUAGUUUCGGUAAGGGAUGAGCUCGCGGCCUAUCAGCUUGUUGGUGGGGUAAUGGCCUACCAAGGCGUCGACGGGUAGCCGGCCUGAGAGGGUGGACGGCCACAUUGGGACUGAGAUACGGCCCAGACUCCUACGGGAGGCAGCAGUGGGGAAUAUUGCACAAUGGGCGCAAGCCUGAUGCAGCGACGCCGCGUGGGGGAUGACGGCCUUCGGGUUGUAAACUCCUUUCAGCCAUGACGAAGCCCUUGUGGUGACGGUAGUGGUAGAAGAAGCACCGGCUAACUACGUG